GGCCCUAUCAUCAAGCUUCAGCUGGGAAGAAAAGUUUACAUCAUCAUAAGCUCACCAUCAAUCGCAAAACAAAUCCUCAAAGACCACGACGCCAUCUUCGCCAACCGCGACAUUCCGGUGGCGGCCAUAAAAGGAACCUUUGGCGGACUCGAAAUUGUGUGGAGAUCCAAUGGCCCAGAAUUGCACAAGCUACGAAAGCUCGUCGUAAGUGAAAUCAUGAGCAACAAAGGCCUCAAUGCUUGCUACGAGUUUCGCCGUCGAGAGAUCCGACAUAUGGUGAAGAAUAUUCAUGGAAAAAUCGGGUCACUCAUUAACCUCAGUGAACAAAUAUUCUUAACAACGUUCAACGUUACGGUUAACAUGCUUUGGGGUGGUUCGUUGAAUGGAGAAGAAUCGAACCUUGGGAUUGAAUUUAAGGAUCAAUUCGAGGAAUUUAUGAGAUUGAUGGUAGAACCCAAUGUUUCUGAUAUGUUCCCGGUGCUUAGGCCAUUUGAUUUACAAGGAAUUGAAUCCAAAGCCAAGAAAAAUAUUUCAUGGUUUUAUGAGUUUUUCGAAUCGGUGAUAGAGCAGCGAAGGAAGCUCGGAGAGGGACCAAAAAUGGCUAGUAGUAAGGAUUUUUUGGAGCAAUUGUUGGAGCUGAACCAAACAGGAGAUGUCAAAAUUUCAUUAUCCAUGAAGGAAAUAAACGCUGUGCUGCUGGUAAGCAUACACACUAAAUUUUGAAAUCCGGAAUUCUAAAAAUAUAACUACAUUACUAAAUUUCAAAAAUUUACAAAAAAAAAACAUAUUUUAACCUAGGGGGUAUAUCAGUGUAAAACAAGUUUAAGUGGUUUUCCAUUCUUUCUUAAUUUUUUAAACAAAUAAUAUUUUAAUAACAACGGUCAUAUUUCNNNNNNNNNNNNNNNNNNNNNNNNNNNNNNNNNNNNNNNNNNNNNNNNNNNNNNNNNNNNNNNNNNNNNNNNNNNNNNNNNNNNNNNNNNNNNNNNNNNNUUUAGUUAUAAGCUUUAUGAUUUUGGAGAUAAAAUUUAGGAUUUUGUAAGUUAAUUUUUUAUUCAAAAUAUUAAUUCAACUGUUAAUAUCAAAAAUAUUUUCCGUCAAAAUUUACCAACGUGAAAUAUUAAUUUGAGUGUUGUCAUAUGUGGUGAUAAUAAUUGAUAAAUAAAAUAAAUAUACUAACUUAAUAAAAUUUAACUGAAAUACUAAAGAUGUUAAUGACUGCACUAUAAUUUUUAAAUUAAAAAUAUAAAGGUAUUUUAACCUUUGAAUAAAGGGUACAUUUAAUUGGAUUGGAACUUAUUUUAAAGUAUAUAAAAUCAUUUAAUUUGGCUAUUGAUAUAAAAAUAAACAUCCAACCUACCCUAAUGUAUUUUAAUUUUACACUCUGAUCAAAGUUGAAUUAAUAGAAUUAAAUUAAUUAAAUUAUUUCGAUUCGAUAAAUUAAUUCGAUUUUAAUUAAAUUUUGCUCAACUUUAAUCCUUUGUCUCUAAUUGUGAGUAUAGAAUAUUGUAAUUGGCGCUACGGACACGACAUUUACAACAAUAGAGUGGGCGAUGACGGAAUUACUACGACAUCCAGAUAAAUUGCGAAGAGUCAUUGAGGAAUUGGAUGCAAUAAUCGGUGACCAAAACAUUGUUGAAGAGUUCCAUCUUCCUCGCCUACUCUAUUUAGAAGCUGUGGUGAAAGAGACGUUACGAAUUCACCCACCGGCUCCUUUCCUAAUGCCACACAUGCCGAGCGAGACCAUCGUCGUAGCCGGUUACACUAUCCCAAAAAAUUCCAAUAUUUUCUUCAAUGUGUGGGUAAUACAAAGGGACGCCGACUUCUGGGAAGACCCUCUUCAAUUCGAGCCAGAAAGGUUCUUGAAUGUCAUUGAGAAAAGAAAUUAUAAGGGAAAUAGUUUCGAUUUUUUCCCGUUUGGAUCGGGGAGGAGGAUUUGUAUUGGGAUUUCAAUGGCAGAGAAAAUUAUGAUGCUGGUGUUGGCGACGUUGUUGUAUUGUUUCGAAUGGGAAUUGCCGAAUGGGCAAAAACCUGAUGCGAAAGAGCAACUACGAUUGGUGUUGUCGAAGGUGGAGCCGCUUCUUGUUGUGCCCAUUUCGCGUUCAUCUAAUUCAAUGCAAUAUCAAUAAAUUUGUGGUUAAAAUAUGCUUUAAGCCAUUAUGCUUUUUAUUAGUAUUAUAAUAACCGUAUGGCUAUAUGGUUAUUUAUAUAUAUAUAUAUAUCUUGAAACUGUAUCAUGCACUCUUAUGUUGGAAUGAAAAAUGUAUUUUUAAUCUAUAUAUUUGCAUGUUUAUAUAUAUGUGUCACGUAAAUGUGUUUUGAUAUGAUGUUAUACGUAUGGCCAUCUGCCAAUGGAUAUAUUUGUUUGUGUUAUUUCAUUGUUCAUUUACGCGACUAUCAACUCAUGUUUUCAUGUUACUCAAACGUUUACUCAGAUUAUUUCGCAUUAAAAUUUAAGUGAUUUUACAUAUUUUUAUAAUCUUUUAUAUGAUUAAUAUUUUAAUAAUUUAAUCAUCAUAUUUCAUGCUCUAUUUAUGUAGAUUAUAUACAUCAAAUUUAAUAUAAAUUAAUAAAUUCUAACUUUUAUUUUAUGUAAAAAAAAACUUUUAACUCAAAUAUCAAACAAAAACGGACAAAUUAUUCCUUACAUGUUAAAUCAAAUAUCAAACAAAAACGGAGGUGAAAGGGGUGAGUGUUCAAUUUCGGGUUAGUCGAGUUAAUAAGUCUUAUUUUAUCACCCUAAUUUGAUUUGAAUUUUUUUUUCAAAUCGAGUAGAGUGAAAUCAAAUCGAGUGAAAUUGUUCGAAUUAAAUUUUAAAAAACUAAACUUGUCGAAUUGGUAAUUUACUUGUUUAAGCCUUCAAAAUUAUUAUUUUGGAUUCUUUUAAAAAAAUUUAUGUUUUCUUUAGAUUUUUUUAGAUUUUCUAUUUUCAUAAAUGUUUUGAAUUUUUUAAAAUUAUUAUGAUUUUUUUUUGUUGUUGAAUGAGAAUAAUUUGUUCAUUUUCGAAAUUGAUAGGGGAGAAAGGAGUAUUUACAUCAAUAUAUUAUUCAAGUCAUUUGAAUUGUGAAAUUUAACUCAACUUGAACUUGAAAAACCAAAUUACUUAUUCAAGUUGACUCAAAAAACCGAAUAACUCAAAUUAGAGGUGCUCAUGGGCCGGACGGCCCGACUCGGCCCUAUGGCCCGCCCGAAAUAUGGGAGGAUUCAGGUAAAAAUAUAGGCCCAAAAUAUGGGUUUGGGCAAAAAAAAUGAGGCCUGUUUAGAAAACGGGUCGGGCCUCGAGCACCACUUUUUUUGCCCGGGCCUAGCCGAAUAUAAUAAAUAUAUUUUUUUUUAUUUUUUAAUUUUAAAAUAUUUUUAAAAUUCUUUUUUUUUAUUUUUUAUUUUUAAAAUAAAUUUUAGUUAUUUAUUAAAAAAUGGGCCGGGCCGGGCCCGGGCCUAGGAUGAGGGCCAAAAUUUUUUCUGGGCCCAGCAUGAACUCUGCCCGGCCCGACCCAUGAGCACCUCUAACUCAAAUAACUCAAUUCGAUUAACUCGAAAUUCAAAAUUUUUUUAAUUCUUUCAAGUAAAAUCGAGUUUUGCUCACACUUAACUAUCAACUUUCACCUUAUGAUCUCUCACCAUUUUUAUAUUUUCUAAUUUAUAGAUGGAUGAUUGUGUAAACUAAUUACAAACAUCAUUCCUUUUAAUUCAUUCCUUUUUAUAAUUCAUAUAAAUCGUUAAAAAUUCACAUUCUAUUAAACAAAAAUAGGUACACAUAUAAUUACUGAAAAAAUAUUCUUAUUUUUAUUUUUUAAAUCAAAUUUUUAUUUUUAUUUUUAUUUUUAUCUAAAAUAUCUGAAAUAAUAAUAAGAUUAAAAUUAUUUUCAUCAAAAAGUUAAAACCAUGAAAUAAUUUUUAAAAACCAUAAUUUAUUAUAUUAUCAAACAACAUAAUCGUAUUUGAUAUGUAAGAUUAAUAAACAUAUCGAUAAAAGUACUAUAGAGGCUUCUAUAUUAGAAGUCAGAUUGUAUUUUGUUUUCUCUACUAACAAAAUAGUCAAAUUAGUCUUUAUACAUUAGAUCAAAGAGCAAAUUAAUCAUUUAUAUUAAAAUUUUCAUUCAUUUGUACUAUUAAAAAACUUAUGUGACUGAUGAAAACAACCAGAGGGUGACACAUGGAUUAAAAGUUUUGAAUUACCUUUGAAUUUAAAUUUGAAAAAGAAAUAGUAAAUAAGAUGUUUUGAUUGGAUUAAUAGUAGUCCUUAGAUAAAAAUUUCAAUAAUUAUGUAACAUCCUCGAGAAGUGAAUAGUGUUAAUUCGGGUUGGCACGUGCUUGAAAUUUUCGGAGUAGAUAAAAAAAUAUACUUAUUAAUAUUAGUAGGGAAGGUGAUUGGAAAUUAUAAGAAAUUAAAAGGACUUUUGAAUUUAGGAAAAUUAAUUUAAGAAAUGGAUUAAAUUGUAGAAGUGUGAAAAGUGUUGGGUCAUAGUGUAAAAAUAAAAAUAGGGAAAGGAUUAGAUUAAAUGGAUGAGAAAAAGAGCAAGGACUUGGAGUAGAAUUUAACCAUGAAAGAACAGAAAGGAGUGGAUGAUAUUGAAGACGAAUGACAUCACACAUGUGGCAUGGUGAUGAGAUUUUUCUUUAAUAAAAUAUAUAUAAAGAAAUCCUCAAAGACCACGACGCCAUCUUCGCCAACCGCGACAUUCCGGUGGCGGCCAUAAAAGGAACCUUUGGCGGACUCGACAUUGUGUGGAGAUCCAAUGGCCCAGAAUUACACAAGCUACGAAAGCUCGACGUAAGUGAAAUCAUGAGCAACAAAGGCCUCAAUGCUUGCUACGAGUUUCGCCGACGAGAGAUCCGACAUAUGGUCAAGAAUAUUCAUGGAAAAAUCGGGUCACCCAUUAACCUCAGUGAACAAUAUUCUUAACAAUGUUCAACGUUACGGUUAACAUGCUUUGGGGUGGUUCGUUGAAUAGAGAAGAAUCGAACCUUGGGCAUGAAUUUAAGGAUUGAUUUGAGGAAUUUUUGAGAUUGAUGGUAGAACCCAAUGUUUCUGAUAUGUUCCCGGUGCUCAGGCCAUUUGAUUUGCAAGGAAUUGAAUCCAAAGCCAAGAAAAAUAUUUCAUGGUUUUAUGAGUUUUUCGAAUCGGUGAUAGAGCAGCGAAGGAAGCUCGGAGAGGGACCAAAAAUGGCUAGUAGUAAGGAUUUUUUGGAGCAAUUGUUGGAGCUGAACCAAACAGGAGAUGUCAAAAUUUCAUUAUCCAUGAAGGAAAUAAACGCUGUGCUGCUGGUAAGCAUACACACUAAAUUUUGAAAUCCGGAAUUCUAAAAAUAUAACUACAUUACUAAAUUUCAAAAAUUUACAAAAAAAAAACAUAUUUUAACCUAGGGGGUAUAUCAGUGUAAAACAAGUUUAAGUGGUUUUCCAUUCUUUCUUAAUUUUUUAAACAAAUAAUAUUUUAAUAACAACGGUCAUAUUUCAUAAAUUAUUCAUGUACAUCAUGCACAUCAAGUUUGGUAUAAAUUAAAAAAAAUUUAAUUAUUCGCUUUUUGAAAAAAAAAAUUCAAAUGUUCAUUCGUUAAAAUAUUAAUCGUACAAGAAUAUACAUAAAUAUGUAAAUUACUCAAAUUUCACAUCGAUGUAAAUUCAUCCUUUCCCUUGUAUAUAGGCAUUGUUUAAAAAAAAUACAUAACAAUCCAUGAAAUUGGUCGGUUUAGUUGUAAACAAAAUGAUUUUGGAGAUUUCUGGUAUGUUUUGUAGGGCGUGUAAUUGGUUGAUUUAAUUAGUUCAGCUUAAAAAAAUUAAUCGAUUUUUCUAAAAUAAAAAUUAGUAACCGAGUUGAUUUAAAGAUGAAAACACAAUAAUCGAACCGAUUCUGAUUUAAUUAAAAAAAAAGGAAUAUUGAUGGAUUUCAUUAAAAUAUAUUUAGGUUUAGGUUUUGAAUAACCUUAAAACACAUUGUUAGUGCUUUUAUUUCGAUAAAAUUUAAGAUUUUGUUUCUAAGAAGUUAAUUUUUUUUAUUCAAAAUCUUAAUUCAACGGUUAAUAUGAGAAAUAUUUUUUAUCAAAAUUUAUCAACUUGAAAUAUUAAUAUUUUCAUAUAAUUUGAUAAUAAUUGAUAAAAACUAAGUUAAUAAAAAUUAACUGAAUUAUUAAAGGUGUUAAUUAAACUACAAUUUUUAAAUUGAAAAUAUAAUGAAUAAAUCUCAAAUCCCAUGUAAGUAGAAGUAUUUUGACCUUUGAAUAAUGGGUACAUUUAAUUGAUUGUAACUUAUUUUAAAGUAUAUAAAAUCAAGCUAUUGAUAUACAUUCAACCUAUAUAAUGUAUUUUAAUUUAACGCUCUAAUCAUAAUUAAAUUAAUUAAAUUAUCUCGAUUAAUUUGAUUUUAAUUAAAAUCUGCUCAACUUUAAUCCUUUGUCUCAAAUUGUGGGUAUAGAAUAUUGUAAGUGGUGCUACGGACACAACAUUUACAACAAUGGAGUGGGUGAUGACGGAAUUACUACGAUACCCAGAUCAAUUGCGAAGAGCCGUCGACGAGUUGGAUGCAAUAAUUGGUGGCCCAAACAUCGUUGAAGAGUUUCGUCUUCCUCGCCUACUCUAUUUAGAAGCUGUGGUGAAAGAGACAUUACGAAUUCACCCACCUGCUCCUUUGCUAAUGCCACACAUAUCGAGUGAGACCAUCGUCGUAGCCGGUUACACUAUCCCCAAAAAUUCCAAUAUUUUCUUCAACGCGUGGGCAAUACAAAGGGACACUGAGUUCUGGGAAGACCCUCUUCAAUUCGAGCUAGAAAGGUUCUUGAAUGUCAUUGAGAAAAGGAAUUAUAAGGAAAAUAGUUUCGAUUUUUUUCCCGUUUGGAUCGGGGAGGAGGAUUUGUGUUGGGGUUUCAAUGGCAGAGAGAAUUAUGAUGUUGGUGUUGGCGACAUUGUUGCAUUGUUUCGAAUGGGAAUUGCUGAAUAGGCGAAAACCUGAUGUGAAAGAGCAACUACGAUUGGUGUUGUCAAAGGUGGAGCCACUUGUUCUUGUGCACAUUGCCCGUUCAUCUAAUUCAAUGCAAUAUCAAUAAAUUUAUGGUUAAAAUAUGCUUUAAGUCAUUAUACUUUUCAUAAAUUUUAAAUUUAAUCCUUGUACUUUUAUUUAUAGAAAUUUAAUCCAUCUACUUAUUUUCAUUAGUAUUCACGCUAAGGUUUAGGUUAAUUCGAAUAUCUUUUUGGAUUCAAUUUAACUCAAAUUUUGAGUUUUAUUUAAAAUUUGGAACUUAAUCAAAAUUUAAACUUUGUUAUGAAUCUCAAAAUUCGAUUUUUUUUUUUGAAAUGAAACCCGAAAUGUGGAAUUACAUAAAACUUGAAAUUGAAGCUCGAGACUAGUGAAUCAAUGUUAUAUUAAGGUAUAAAUAAGAUAUUUUGUGUUUAUUUUUGGGAUCUUACAGUAUAUUUUCCGAUUAGUUUUCCAAGCUCUAUUUUCCGGUUAUUUUCUAUUUCUUUGAAAAGUGCAACACCAAUUUUGUUUCAUCUUCUUUAUUCCGGUGUACAAAUAUUGAAAUACUAUGUUAACUUUGGGGGCGAUAUCCACUAAACGAUUACAGUGAUUAGUACGAAUUUGCUUAAAAGGUAAUGGUUCUUCCACAACACAGUUAUUAUUUAAUUUAUUUACACACAAUUUAUUUAUCCAAUUAGUGCUAAAAAUUUUGUUUUGCAGUGGUAUAUUUCUUACAAUAAUUUCAUAAUUUAUUUGUACAAAUCAGUUAAUGUGAAAAACGUUAAGAGUUAAAUUUUUUAGAAUCAAUACUAAAUUGACAUAAUAUAGAAAUGUUGAAUGUUAAAGUUAACGGGUGGUGAUAAACUACCAUUAUUUUAUAACUUUUCAUAAUUGAGCAAUUAAUAAAUAAACUUGAGUAUAAUUUAUGUUUUUAAAAAAAAAUAGAAGUAUGUGAUAGAGAGAGAUAUCAACGAUGUUUUAUCCCACCAACUCCCUCUAUGCCCUGGAGUACUUUAGCCAACCAGCAUAAAUCUCUUUCCAAUAAGCCUUCACUAAUUCAACUAGUUACAAGAUAAAAUAUUUGGCAUAGUUUUUGGUAUUUCUUCAUAAUAAUUGGUAUACUCUUAUAAUUUUCAAUACACUUUUAUAAUUUUUGGUAUUUUUUUGAAAUGAAAAUUUGAAAUGAAGUAUAAUUUUAGAGUAAAAAGGUUUUCAAUGCCAUUUUUUAGACCAAAAAAUUAUUAACUUUUAAAUUAUUAUUUUUUAUGCUAAUAUCAAUAUAUAGUAAUAAGGUUUUAAAAAUUAAUAAAUGAAAUAAAUUUAAUAAGGUCAACCAAUUUUUGAUAGGCACUUAUACUUUUUGGUACUCUUUAAUAUUUUUUGAUAUUUCUUUGUAUUUUUUUAUAUUCUCUCCUAAGUUUUUCAUUUUUGGGUUGAUUAAAGGUCAAAACUUUGCAUUUUGAUUUUUGUUUCUAUUUGGUUGGUGAGAAAGAUGAAAGAAAAUACUCUAACAUCACUUUAUUUAUUUAUUUAUUUUUAAAUAAAAGGAUGCUUUUUCACACUAAAAUAAGGAUGUCAAAAUUCAAAUUACUUCAUGAAUUUUGAAUUAAUCGACUCUGAAUGAAGCUGAUUUUUUUAUUUGAAAAAUGGAUAUGGGACGGGGUGGGUGGAUUUUUUUCUGUUGAAUAGUGAGUACGGAACGGCUAUGGUAAUUUCUUGCCAUUUUCGACCUGCUCCACUAUAUAUAUUUAUUGUUUUAUCCUUGUAUAUAUAAACUAUUAAAAGGGUAAAAAUAUAAUAAUGGAAUAUAGAAAAAAAUUAUAUAUUUUAUGUUUAAAUAUUUUUUAAAGAAUUAUACUUAAAUAUUUACCUGACUUCAAAAAUAUUGAAAAAAAUUAAAAACAAGUAUCAACAAUUAAAUUGAAGCGGAGCGGAGUGGGGUGGAGAUGGAUGCAUCCAACAUCCAUGGAGGUGGUAGUGGAUUUCAAGAUUAUACAUCUAUAGUAGAGCGGGAUGGGCGGUAAAGCAGAGUGUGUCAAUUAUGAAACAGUAAUGGAUUUAGCAAUAUCAGUCAUGCCUCACCCAAUUGCCAUCCCUACAUCCUUCUCUAUAUUCAAAUUUAGUCAUAAUUUUCUCUAUUUCUUUUAAUUGAAGUAUCCGGUUAAUAACUUAAUUAUUAAAAAACAAAAAAAAGAGUAAAGUAUUUAAAAUAAAAAAUAGGCAGAGUUGAAAGUUUCCACAUGCUUUGGCUGAAAAUAUAUAAAGGUUAUAAAAUAUAGAAAUUUAGUUUUAUAAAGAUUUCAUUUAGAUUUUAUUUACUAUGUAAUUACAUUCAAAAUUUAUAAUUUCUAAACAAUUGAAUGACGUGUAAAAUAUGUAUAAAUAUUUUAUAACGUUUCAAUUAUUAGGAAAGUGGUGAAGGACGUUAUCAUUUAAUAGUUCAAAUAAGUCCCUCUAUCCUUUUUUUGUAUUCGAAUUAAAGUACACGAUAAAAUUAUUUUUUAUUAGAGCAAAGUUUCAAUAAUAAAUACGAUUAGCGUGACUCGAAUCUAAGCUACACUUGAGACGAUGAACACUUUUAACCAUCAAGCCAUUACAUGGAAUUCAAUUUUAUCUAUUUUCAAUUCAAAAAUAAUUCAUAAAUAUCCAUGGGAAAAUCGAGUCACCCAUUAACCUCAGUGAACAAAUAUUCUUAACGGCAUUCAAUGUUACAAGUAACAUGCUAUGGGGUGGUUGGUUGAACGGAGAAGAAUCGAAGCUUGGGCUUGAAUUUAAGNNNNNNNNNNNNNNNNNNNNNNNNNNNNNNNNNNNNNNNNNNNNNNNNNNNNNNNNNNNNNNNNNNNNNNNNNNNNNNNNNNNNNNNNNNNNNNNNNNNNAAAAUAUAUUUAGGUUUAGGCUUUGAAUAAACUAUAGACACAUUGUUAUUUUUUUAUAUCAAUAAAAUUUAGGAUUUUGUCUCUAAACAAGUUGAUUUUUUUUAUUCAAAGUCUUAAUUUAACUAUUAAUAUCAAAAAUAUUUUUGGUCAAAAUUUAUCAAUUCAAAAUGUUAAUUUAAAUGUCAUCAUAUGAUGUGAUAAUUUUUUAUAAAAAUAAACAUGAUAAGUUAAAAAAAUUUAACUGAAAUACUAAAAGUGUUAAAUGACAAAACUACAAAUUUUAAAUUGAAAAUAUAUUUUUCGAAAUCAUUUUUUGUAAGGGGGUUGACUUUCUGUUUAAAAACGAAAAUGGAGUCGCCGCCAAUCCUUUUUAUUUAGGUGUGAUCGGAUCACCUCAUAAUUUAAUCAUUUUAAUAAAAGUUUAAAUUUACUAAAACGAUAAUUUUUUGUCUUCAAAAUCCAAAAAAAUGGGUUCGAGAGUCGGUUACGCUCGAGGAAGGAUUAGCACCCUCGAUAUGCCCAAAAUUGGUACCUAGUUGAUUACUUAAUGUCUUAAUGCCGAAAAUUGAAAUUUUGAAAAGAUUUUAAAAUACAAUCCUUUUUUAUCAAUGUUCAUUAUAAAAAUGCCUGAAUAAAUCGAAAAGAAAUUUAAAGACCCUCUCGUCUCGAGGUAACGAAAUGCCACGUCUCGUAAGUUAGGACACGACACUUGGAACCCUCAAGAAUAAGCUUGCCUUUAAUUUUUAUUGAAAUUCCAUGUAUUUUGAAAUUUAAAAUGAUAUUUUGCUAUUUAGGUUUAACGAGAAAAUUGAAACCCCGUAAGUUAGGAUAUGAUUUCUUGAAUCUCCAAAAUGCGAAAUAUUGCCUUAUUUUAAAAAUUUUAAAAUAGAACAGUUUAUUAUGGGUAUAUAAAAAUUAAACGCGACUUUUGAAGUGAUGAAAUGAAAUGGAAUGAUAAUAUAGAACAUGGAAUAACGAUUUAUGAAUAAAAUGUUACAUCAAUGAGUGACAAUAAUAUGAAAACACGAAUAAACGAAUUAUAGUACACAUGAUAGCAAUAAUCACACAAAGCAUGUCACUUUAAUAUCAAUAUUAACAAUCAAGGAAAGCGAACCAAAAUAAUAUAUGAAAAGGAAAGCGAACCAAAAUAAUAUAUGAAACAAUUUAAAGUAAAUAAUAGUUUAAAAUAAAUAAUUUACGAGAACAAUUCGAAGUAAAUGAUAAAAGGUUUCAAAUAAACAAUAUAAAAAAAACUUAAAAAUGAAUAAUAACAAAACAGUUUAAAAUAAAUAAUAUAAAAAUAACAUAUAAAACAAUUUUUUUAAAUAAUAUAUAAAAAUUUUAAAUGAUAAUAUAUAUAAUAGUUUAAAAUAAGUAAUAUAAUAAAAAAAUUUAAAUAAAUAAUAGGUAAAAAUAGUUUAGAAUAAAUAAUAUAUAUAAAAAACUUAAAAUAAAUAAUAACAAAAGAGCUCUUUUUUUAAAAAAGAAAAUAAAUGAAUUAAAUGGACUGAGUACGAGAUUAAAAUCGAACUAAAGUUCAGGGUUUAAAUUGUAAAUAAAUAAGAAAGGGUUACUAGGGACCAAAAUAGAACGUGCUUAAAAAGAAUGAGCGACUGACUGGGAAAAUAUUCCCAGCCCCUAUGCGCAGCGUUCCAGCAUGGACCAAAGUGAAGCAAGCGGAAGGAAAAAAAAAAUUAUACCGCAAAAUUAAAAAGGAAAAAAAAACAAGUGAGGACUAAAUUGCAAAGCAUCGCAAAAGCAGAAGGACCGCGUACGCAAAUAGCCCAUUUAAAGCAAAAACGCGUAGAUCUUGGUUGCAUUCGGGUCGAUUUUUGGGUCUGAUGCAAAACGGCAUCGUUUUGGCCACUGGUGCUUAAGCCCAAAACGGCGUCGUAUUAUACCCUAUAUAAAUAGCAAAAAUAGAAAAAAAAAAAACAUUUCAGCCUUCAUUUUGUUCUCUCAGUCUCCCUUUCACACCUCUUUUUCCGGCCAUUGGGCCCAGUUGUUGGCCACUGUGAUGGCCGCUGGUCACUGGCGACAGCGGCGCUGUUUGCGGUGGCCGAAAAUGCCAAAACCACACUUUUUCUCCUCUCUUCCCGAGUAGAACCCGGAUUUGGGGUUAAAACGGCCCGAAAGACCCUCGAAAUUCAAAAAACGAAGGAAAAAAAAAAGACAAAACAAAGGGACCUUUUGGUUCCCAGUUGCCGCCGGUGGGGUUUGCGGCGAGCCCACUGACUCAGCCACCCUCAAGACUGGAGAAGUCUCUGACCGCAGCGUUAAAGGUAAUAAAUUUCACCCCUUUUUUAUUUUUUCAAUAUUAUUUAUUUAUUUAUUUUGAAUAAAAAUAUAUAAAAAAGCACCUUGAUUUUCUUUAAAUCUGUUUCAAACUUCUUUUUGUAUUCAGAAUUAGUGUGUGUGUAAAAAAAUUACAAAUAUGAAGUUUGGGCUUUUAUAGCCGGAUUAAAAAACUCUUAGUUUUCUAUUUUUUGUUUGUUUUGCUUGGUUUUUUUGUUGUCUUGUGUGUUGAUCUUGUUGGAACGUCGGCACCCCUACGGCGCAGCGGAAAAUUAAAAUAUUCGGCGAUCCUAACCAUGGAUCCAUGUGUGAGGAACGAAUCGGGGUGAAAUAAGGUUUCGAAAUUACCGAAUCUUUAUUCUGAGAAGACAACAACGGCUCAGCAACGAGUAAUCUGAUCUACUAUCGAACCAAGCCGCAAUCUAUCGUGACUCCGGCUUAUACAUAAUCCACCCAGUUGACAAUGAAUGGAAGGAAUCCCCAAAAUUGUUUUGAAAAACUUUGUUUUGACGGAUGCUAGACCUCAAGCAAAGAAAAACGAGAUUUUUAUAUCUAUUUUUAGGGUUUCUAGAAAUUAAAUAAAUAUAACUAUGUUUUAAACCAAAAAUUAUAAUUACAUUAAUUAUAAUAAUGAUUUCGAUAAACUAUAUAUUUAUUUGAAUUUAUAUACUAACAAAAUUCAUGUUCUCAUUAUGCGUACAACAACCUUGUACAUAAUGUGUUUGAAAUUUGAUUAUCCAUUUAAAUUAAUUCUAUAAUUAAUUUAAUUCAAGCGACAACCAAACACAAUACCAGCUAUGUUUUAUUCCGUUCAUUUCAACUAUAGGUGUGACCCUGUAGGUUCUUGUAACGUUAGCAGUAAUACUAGAACGAUUCUAAUGUUACAAACAAUGAGUGGCCCCUAGCAAUGCAUCAUUACUACCUAAGUCACAAUAAAUCAUGAUUCGACAUAACCUUUUUAUGAUUAACCUUUCAAGCAAUAAUCCUUAAGUCCUUUAUCUCUGGAUUGGACACAAGUCAUGGAAUAGUCACACUUGCAUAGUCCAUUCCAUGUUCCUUGAUAUCUUAAGUAGACUAUGAUAUACAAAUAAGUAUGACAUCUCAUAUCAGCUUAUUUGAGCAUGGUCAUGCAUUUCUAGUCUCACUCAAUCAAGUGGCCUAAGAUAUUACUCCCAUUAUGUAGGAGGGACUUAUCCUAUAUCAAUCAACCAUAUCCCUCUACAUAGAUCGUGGUAUAUCCAACAUCAGCCUUUAUAGAACAACCAGUUACGGUGUACGUUUGACUGUAUCAAAAUAUACAACUCAUGAUGUUGGGAUUAUGAUGAUCUCAAGUUUGAGGAUCAUAUACAUAUUAAUCACUAUGAGUAAUGUUGUGACAAUUACAUAAUAAUCCAAGAAACAUACUCAUAACGGGUCAGUCCAAUAUGUCGUUCUCUAACACACAUAUUCAUGCAUCGAUUUUGGCAUUCCAUAUCAAUGACAACUCUUUAUCAUCAAUCAACUACAUGUUAGUCUUAAUGCAUUAUUGUUGUCCUAUCCAACAAUAAUACUUGACUAAGGAUCUUUUAAGAAUAAUCAUAUUACUCUCAGGACAUUAUUAUAAAACAGUUUAUUUAUACAUACAGAAAAGAAAUUGAAAUAAUAAUGGUAACGCCUUAUAUUAAUAAACAUGAUAAAUGAAGUAUGUUAUUACAACCAUCUCAUGAUUGAUCUUUGGGCAUACUCUAACAGAUCUCUUUUUGCAGGUGUCAAACGCGCGUGGAGGAGGCUGGCGUGCGGCGACGCUGCGGCAGCAAUGGCAGCAGUGGCAGGCCUAGGUACCUUUCUUCCUCUUUUUUAUUAAUAGUCUUUUUUUAAAGAAAAACCAAUUUAAAAGGAAGAAUAAAAAAUGAUAUAUAAAAAAUAAAAUAAUAAAUCGAAAUGAAAGCAGCAACCUUUUCUUUUAUUUCUGAUGUUCGUAACAAAGGGUCCGGACCCCUCUCGUUUUUACAAUCAUCGGCUUUAUAGCCGAAAGAAGAAAAAAGAAAAAAAAUCCCUUCCCCCGUUUUUGUGGUCUGUUUUUGUCUUUUUCCUUGGUUGCGUGUUUGCAAGUGACGGCGCAAGUGGGGUGGUCGACGUGACAAUGGGCAGGGGUUAGGUUCGGCGGUGGCAGAGCAAGUGGCAUGGACAGUGGCGGGUGGACGCUAGCUAGGUGCGGCUGCAGACUAGGGCUUAGGGUUUCCUGUUUCUUUUUUUGUGUUGGGCCAUUUGGGCCGUUUAGGUUUUGUUUAGGAUUGGGCUUGGGUUAGGUUUAAAUUUGUUGGGUCUGUUACUUGUGUUCGGGUUGAUUGGGUUUUGGGCCCCGGACAAAAUUUGGGCUGUACAAAUUCAACAUGUUACAAGAUAAAAUAUUUAGCAUAAUUUUUGGUAUUUCUUCAUAAUAAUUGAUAUACUCUUAUAAUGUUUGAUAUUUCUUCAUAAUUUUCGGUACACUUUUAUAAUUUUUGGUAUUCUCUUAUAAUUUUGGUACAGUUUCGAACUGAAAAUUUGAAAUGAGACCUUUUAGACCGAAAAAAUUAUUAACUUUUAAAUUAUUAUUUUUCAUGCUAAUAUUUAUAUAUAAUGAUAAUUUUUUAAAAAUUAAAAAAUUUAAUAAAAUCAACCAAGUUUUGAUAAUUACUUAUAAUUUUUGGUACUGUUUAAUGUUUUUUUAUAUUUCUUUGUAUUUUUUUUGUAUUCUCUCGUAAGUUUUUGGUGAUUCCUUGGAUACUAAUAUAGUUGCAUAUUUGUCUUGUUGUUUAUUUAAAGUGCGUUUUUCAUUUUUGGGUUGAUUAAAGGUCAAAACUUUGCAUUCUGAUUUUUGUUUCUAUUUUGUUGGUGAGAAAGCAGUGGAAAAUGAAAGAAAAUACUUUAACAUCACAUUAUUUAUUUAUUUUAUUUUAAAGAAAAGGAUGCUUUUUCACACUAAAAUAAGGUUGUAAAACUUCAAACUGCCUCAUGAAUUUUGAAUUGAUCUACACCGAAUGAAGCGGAUUUUUUUUGUUUGAAAAGUGGACGUGGGACGGGGCGGGUGGAGUUUUUUUUCUUUUGAAUAGUGGAUAUGAAGUGACUAUGGUAAUUUCUUGUCAUUUCCGACCUACUCCACUAUAUUCACUUAUUGUUUUAUCUUUGUAUAUAUAAACUAUUGAAAGGGUAAAAAUUUAAUAAUAGAAUAUAGAAAAAAUUCAUAUAUCUUAUGCUUAAAUACAUUUUUUAAAGAAUUAUGCUUAAAUAUUCACUUGACUUCAAAAAGAUUGAAAAAAAAUAAAGAUAAGUACCAACAAUUAAAUUGAAGUGGAGCGGAAUGGGGUGGAGAUGGAUGCAUCCAACAUUCAUGGAGUUGAUAGUGAAUUUCAAGAUUAUACAUCCAUAGCGGAGCGAGAUGGGUGGUAGAGCAGAGCGUACUAAUUAUGAGGCAAUAAUGAAUUUAGAAAUAUCCGUCCUGAUAUUUAAAUUUAGUGAUUGAGAGAGUUAACCCAUAAGUACAUUUUCUCUAUUUUUUUAAUUAAAGAAUGCGAUGUUUGUUUUUUUUUUAAGAAGCAUUACCUUCAAUAGUUAAUAACUUAUUUAUUAAAAAACAAAAAAGGGGUAAAAUAUUUAAAAUAAAAAAUGUGUUAUGCUUUGGCUGAGUAUAUAUAAAGGUUAUAAAAUAUAGAAAUUUAGUUUUAUAAAGAUUUCAUUUAGAUUUUAUUCAGAUUUUAUUUACUAAAGAAUAGUUUGACGUGUAAUUUCAUUCAAAAUUUAUAAUUUCUAAACGAUUCAAUGACGUGUAAAAUAUGUAUAAAAAAUUAAUAAAGUGGUGAAGUACAUGAUCAUUUAAUAAUUCAAAUAAGUCCUCCAUUCCCUCUGUUUUUUUAUUCUAAACGAUAAAAUUAUAUUUUUACUCUUAUAAAAAUAUAUUUUUUAAUUUUAAAUUUUUUAGAAAAGGUUUAAUUUCAUCUUUAUCCUUAAAUUGUACUUCUGGAUUCGUCACAGGAUAUGAACAUUGUUAACCCUACCAUGCACCAAAUACUUGUAUUUAAUAUAAUAAUUUUUUUUUUUUUUUUUGAAUUACAAUAUCAUGGCAAGCCCAAAUAAUAAAUGUAGCUAACGUGAUUCGAAUUCAAACCAUAUCUGAGAUGAGGAGUGAAUACUCUUAACUAUCAAACUAUCGCAUGGAGUUUAAUUUUAUUUAUUUUCAAUUCAAGAAUAAUUCAUAAAUUAUUCUGUUUCUGGAAAGUUGACAAUAAUUGUUUCAGAUUUAGAAUAUUUAUUGCCACGAAUGAGGUAUUGCCAUAAGCUUCCAUAGCCGCCCCCUCAUACUGCUGUAACCUCCUCUUGCUAUAUAUAUAUAUGAUUAUAAUUAAGUCCUUCAGGGAGUGGCGAAGUUCAUAAUUUUUUAAUAAUUCAAAUAAGUCCUCCAUUCCAUCUGCAUGUUUUUUAUUCCAACCAGAGUACCCACCAAUGUCGAACUUCUACAACAAGGUUAUUGGCGAAGGUUGGUUGGGCCGCCAAGACGGAGUGGUUGCGUUCACCAUCACCAAAGUGGCAGCCCCUCUCACGGUGGCCACGUUAGUAAUUAUCUUUUUUUCAUGGUUGGUUAAGAAACUCAUCAUCAAAACCAAGUCGUUGCCGCCGCCGCCACCAGGCCCGAUAGGCCUGCCGAUACUCGGCCACCUCCUUUUCAUCAAACCCGAUUUCCUCCAAUACGUAACCGAGCAAUCCAAAAUCCACGGCCCUAUCAUCAAGCUUCAGCUGGGAAGAAAAGUUUACAUCAUCAUAAGCUCACCAUCAAUCGCAAAACAAAUCCUCAAAGACCACGACGCCAUCUUCACCAACCGCGACAUUCCGGUGGCGGCCAUAAAAGGAACCUUUGGCGGACUCGACAUUGUGUGGAGAUCCAAUGGCCCAGAAUUACACAAGCUACGAAAGCUCGUCGUAAGUGAAAUCAUGAGCAACAAAGGCCUCAAUGCUUGCUACGAGUUUCGCCGACGAGAGAUCCGACAUAUGGUGAAGAAUAUUCAUGGAAAAAUCGGGUCACCCAUUAACCUCAGUGAGCAAAUAUUCUUAACAACGUUCAACGUUACGGUUAACAUGCUUUGGGGUGGUUCGUUGAAUGGAGAAGAAUCGAACCUUGGGCUUGAAUUUAAGGAUCGAUUCGAGGAAUUUUUGAGAUUGAUGGUAGAACCCAAUGUUUCUGAUAUGUUCCCGGUGCUCAGGCCAUUUGAUUUGCAAGGAAUUGAAUCCAAAGCCAAGAAAAAUAUUUCAUGGUUUUUUGAGUUUUUCGAAUCGGUGAUAGAGCAGCGAAGGAAGCUCGGAGAGGGACCAAAAAUGGCUGAUAGUAAGGAUUUUUUGCAGCAAUUGUUGGAGCUGAACCAAACAGGAGAUGUCAAAACUUCAUUAUCCAUGAAGGAAAUAAACGCUGUGCUGCUGGUAAGCAUACACACUAAAUUUUGAAAUCCGGAAUUCUAAAAAUAUAACUACAUUACUAAAUUUCAAAAAUUUACAAAAACUAACAUAUUUUAACCUAGGGGGUAUAUCAGUGUAAAACAAGUUUAAGUGGUUUUACAUUCUUUCUUAACCUUUUAAACGAAUAAUAUUUUAAUAAAACAACGGUCAUAUUUCAUAAAUUAUUCAUGUACAUCAUGCACAUCAAGUUUGGUAUAAAUUAAAAAAGUUUAACUAUUCGCUUUUUGUAAAAAAAAUUCAAAUGUUCAUUCGUUAAAAUAUUAAUCAUACAAGAAUAUACAAAAAUAUGUAAAUUACUCAAAUUUCACAUCGAUGUAAAUUGAUUCUUUCCCUUAUAUAUAGGCAUGGUUUAAAAAAAUACAUAACAAUCCAUGAAAUUGGUCGGUUUAGUUGUAAACAAUAUGAUUUUGGAGAUUUCUGAUAUGUUUUGUAGGGUGUGUAAUUGGUUGAUUUAAUUAGUUCAGCUUAAAAAGAGUAAUCGAUUUUUCUAAAAUAAAAAUUAGUAACCGAGCUGAUUUAAAGAUGAAAACACAAAAAUAUUUAAUUAAAAAAUAAGGAAUAUUGAUGGAUUUCAUUGUUUUUGUUAAAAUAUAAUGAAUAAAUCUGAAAUCCUGAAUAAUGGGUACAUUUAAUUGAUUGUAACUUAUUUUAAAGUAUAUAAAAUCCAGCGCUAUUGAUAUACAUUCAACCUAUAUAAUGUAUUUUAAUUUAACACUCUAAUCAUAAUUAAAUUAAUUAAAUUAUCUCAAUUAAUUUGAUUUUAAUUAAAAUCUGCUCAACUUUAAUCCUUUGUCUCAAAUUGUGGGUAUAGAAUAUUGUAAACGGUGCUACGGACACAACAUUUACAACAAUGGAGUGGGCGAUGACGGAAUUACUACGACACCCAGAUAAAUUGCGAAGAGUCGUCGACGAAUUGGAUGCAAUAAUCGGUGGCCCAAACAUCGUUGAAGAGUUCCAUCUUCCUCGCCUACUCUAUUUAGAAGCUGUGGUGAAAGAGACGUUACGAAUUCACCCACCGGCUCCUUUGCUAAUGCCACACAUGCCGAGCGAGACCAUCGUCGUAGCCGGUUACACUAUCCCAAAAAAUUCCAAUAUUUUCUUCAAUGUGUGGGCAAUACAAAGGGACGCCGAGUUCUGGGAAGACCCUCUUCAAUUCGAGCCAGAAAGGUUCUUGAAUGUCAUUGAGAAAAGGAAUUAUAAGGGAAAUAGUUUCGAUUUUUUCCCGUUUGGAUCGGGGAGGAGGAUUUGUGUUGGGAUUUCAAUGGCAGAGAAAAUUAUGAUGCUGGUGUUGGCGACGUUGUUGCAUUGUUUCGAAUGGGAAUUGUCGAAUGGGCAAAAACCUGAUGUGAAAGAGCAACUGCGAUUGGUGUUGUCGAAGGUGGAGCCGCUUAUUGUUGUGUCCAUUGCGCGUUCAUCUAAUUCAAUGCAAUAUCAAUAAAUUUGUGGUUAAAAUAUGCUUUAAGUCAUUAUGCUUUUCAUAAAUUUUAAAUUUAAUCCUUGUACUUUUAUUUAUAGAAAUUUAAUCUAUCUACUUAUUUUUAUUAGUAUUCACGCUCAUAUUUAAGUUAAUUCAAAUAUUUGUUUGGAUUCAAUUUAACUCAAUUUUCGAGUUUUAUUUAAAAUUUGAAACUUAAUCAAAAUUUAAACUUUGUCAUGAAUCUCAAAAUUUGAUUUUUUUUUUUUUUUUUUUAAAUGAAACCCGAAAUGUGGAAUUACAUAAAACUUGAAGUUGAAGCUCGAGACUAGUGAAUCAAUGUUAUAUUAAGGUAUAAAUAAGAUAUUUUGUGUUUAUAUUAUAAUUUCAUUAUUAAUAUGCAUAAGUGGUAAUAAUAUAAUAUUAAAAGGAAAAGAGAUAAGCAUGGUGAGUGGGGCGACGUUCACCCUACCAUGCAUCAAAUAGAUGCUGAUUUGAAUAUAUAUACAUAUACAUAUAUAAAGAAAAGAGAUAAUCACAAUUACUCGGUUAGUAUGAAUAUUAUUGAUCUUAUUAUCUGUUAAAUACUUACAUUUAAUGCAAUAAAUAAGUUUAGUUUGAUUUAUUUUCAUAAAUUGUUCUGUGUAAUUACAAUCAAAAUUUCUAUCUCUAGAAAGUUCAACAUUUCUGGAAAGUUGAUGAUUAAUUGUUUAUCACAUUUAGAAUAUUUAUGGCGACAGAGGAGGAAAUGCUAUUACCUCCAAUAGCCGCAACCUCAUAUUGCUGUAAUCUCGUUUUAUUAUAUAUGAUUGUAAAUAAGUCUUCCAAUUCCCAGGGAAGUGGUGAAUUACAUAAUUUUUUAAUAAUUCAAAUAAGUACUUCAUUCCCUCUGCUUUUUUUUCUAUUCCAACCAGACUACCCACCCAUGUCGAACUUCUACGAUAAGGUUGCUGGCGAAGGUUGGUUGCGCCGCCACGACGGACUGGCUGCGUUCACCAUCACCGAAGUGGUAGCCACUCUCACGGUGGCGACGUUAGUAAUUAUCUAUUUCUCACGGUUGGUUAAGAAACUCAUCAUCAAAACCAAGCCUUCGCCGCUGCCGCCACCAGGCCCGAUAGGCCUGCCGAUACUCGGCCACCUCCUUUUCAUCAAACCCGAUUUCCUCCAAUACGUAACCGAGCAAUCCAAAAUCCACGGCCCUAUCAUCAAGCUUCAGCUGGGAAGAAAAGUUUACAUCAUCAUAAGCUCACCAUCAAUCGCAAAACAAAUCCUCAAAGACCACGACGCCAUCUUCGCCAACCGCGACAUUCCGGUGGCGGCCAUAAAAGGAACCUUUGGCGGACUCGACAUUGUNNNNNNNNNNNNNNNNNNNNNNNNNNNNNNNNNNNNNNNNNNNNNNNNNNNNNNNNNNNNNNNNNNNNNNNNNNNNNNNNNNNNNNNNNNNNNNNNNNNNCCUCAAUGCUUGCUACGAGUUUCGCCGACGAGAGAUCCGACAUAUGGUGAAGAAUAUUCAUGGAAAAAUCGGGUCAUCCAUUAACCUCAGUGAACAAAUAUUCUUAACAACGUUCAACGUUACGGUUAACAUGCUUUGGGGUGGUUCGUUGAAUGGAGAAGAAUCGAACCUUGGGCUUGAAUUUAAGGAUCGAUUCGAGGAAUUUUUGAGAUUGAUGGUAGAACCCAAUGUUUCUGAUAUGUUCCCGGUGCUCAGGCCAUUUGAUUUACAAGGAAUUGAAUCCAAAGCCAAGAAAAAUAUUUCGUGGUUUUAUGAGUUUUUCGAAUCGGUGAUAGAGCAGCGAAAGAAGCUCGGAGAGGGACCCAAAAUGGCUGAUAGUAAGGAUUUUUUGCAGCAAUUGUUGGAGCUGAACCAAACAGGAGAUGUCAAAACUUCAUUAUCCAUGAAGGAAAUAAACGCUGUCUUGCUGGUAAGCAUACACACUAAAUUUUGAAAUCCGGAAUUCUAAAAAUAUAACUA
Molecule: long non-coding RNA, 20975 nt
Filed under: Gossypium raimondii (Peruvian cotton)
Lineage: Eukaryota; Viridiplantae; Streptophyta; Magnoliopsida; Malvales; Malvaceae
Description: long non-coding RNA (GRAI_LNC006818)
Source: RNAcentral